GAAUUGACGGGACCGCACAAGUGGUGGAGCAUGUGGUUAAUUCGAAGAUACACGAAGAACCUUACCUGGCCUUGACAUGUACGGAACCCUUUAGAGAUAGAGGGGUGCUCGAAAGAGAGCCGUAACACAGGUGCUGCAUGGCUGUCGUCAGCUCGUGUCGUGAGAUGUGGGUUAAGUCCCGCAACGAGCGCAACCCUCGCUGUGUGUUACAAGUGUCACACGGAACUGCCGGUCAUAAACCGGAGGAAGGUGGGGAUGACGUCAAGUCAGCAUGGCCUUUAUAUCCUGGGCUACACACACGCUACAAUGGGAAGGGACAAUAGGUUGCGAAGCCGCGAGGCGGAGCCAAUCCAGCAAAACUUCCCUCAGUUCAGAUUGCAGGCUGCAACUCGCCUGCAUGAAGUUGGAGUUGCUAGUAAACGCAGGUCAGCCAUACUGCGUUGAAUACGUUCCCGGGGCUU
RNAcentral lists this ribosomal RNA (461 nucleotides) under uncultured Anaerolineaceae bacterium. RNAcentral describes it as "bacterial SSU rRNA". It matches the Rfam family "Bacterial small subunit ribosomal RNA", at positions 907 to 1382 of the family's 1533-position model. Lineage: Bacteria; Bacillati; Chloroflexota; Anaerolineae; Anaerolineales; Anaerolineaceae. The record is from RNAcentral.